Molecule: ribosomal RNA, 460 nt
Filed under: uncultured bacterium
Lineage: Bacteria
Description: partial 16S ribosomal RNA
Rfam family: Bacterial small subunit ribosomal RNA
Source: RNAcentral
CCUACGGGCGGCAGCAGUGAGGAAUAUUGGUCAAUGGCCGGAAGGCUGAACCAGCCAUGCCGCGUGAAGGUCAGUGCCCUAUGGGCGUUAAACUUCUUUUGUGCGGGAGCAAUAAUGGUCACGUGUGGCCAGACGAGAGUACCGUACGAAUAAGCAUCGGCUAACUCCGUGCCAGCAGCCGCGGUAAUACGGGGGAUGCAAGCGUUAUCCGGAUUUAUUGGGUUUAAAGGGUGCGUAGGCUGUGAGGUAAGUCAGCGGUGAAAUGCCCCCGCUCAACGGGGUGAAGUGCCAUUGAUACUGCCUGGCUGGAAUGCGGAUGCGGUGGGAGGAAUGUGUGGUGUAGCGGUGAAAUGCAUAGAGAUCACACAGAACACCGAUUGCGAAGGCAUCUCACGAAUCCGCGAUUGACGCUGAUGCACGAAAGCGUGGGUAUCAAACAGGAUUAGAUACCCGGGUAGUC